AUAAGGGCUACUGUACUGUGUUCCAGAAGAUAGAACAGAAAUGAACAACAGAAAGAGGAUCUCUCUCAGGCUCCUACAUGAAAAUUGAAGCCCACUGGAAAAGUGAAAAGAAUCUCUGCAAUAAAGGCAUAUCAGAGCACUGUGGUUGCCUAGGGAAAAGUUCAGACAGCCAGCAGGUGAAGAUUCUUAGAGAGGAAAAUGGAUUUACUAUUGUAAGUAAAGCUGCACUGUGGAGGCUGGUUUAUCUCUGCACUACUCACACUUCUGCUACUCUCAGUCUGUGA
RNAcentral lists this long non-coding RNA (284 nucleotides) under Fukomys damarensis (Damara mole-rat). RNAcentral describes it as "lncRNA (ENSFDAG00000023246.1)". Lineage: Eukaryota; Metazoa; Chordata; Mammalia; Rodentia; Bathyergidae. The record is from RNAcentral.